GACGGAGGAUGCAAGUGUUAUCCGGAAUCACUGGGCGUAAAGCGUCUGUAGGUGGUCAAAUAAGUCAACUGUUAAAUCUUGAGGCUUAACCUCAAAAUCGCAGUCGAAACUAUUAGACUAGAGUAUAGUAGGGGUAAAGGGAAUUUCCAGUGGAGCGGUGGAAUGCGUAGAGAUCGGAAAGAACACCGAUGGCGAAGGCACUUUACUGGGCUAUUACUAACACUCAGAGACGAAAGCUAGGGUAGCAAAUGGG
This 253-nucleotide ribosomal RNA is filed under the name uncultured bacterium. RNAcentral's name for it is "partial 16S ribosomal RNA". It matches the Rfam family "Bacterial small subunit ribosomal RNA", at positions 524 to 776 of the family's 1533-position model. The record is from RNAcentral.